CACGACAGCACUGAGAGAUUGCAGACUACAUGCCCAAGAGGAAUAUAGAGUAACUCUGACACGUAUCUAGCAGCCUGGUCUCAUAGUGGCGGCAGAUGUGUGAACCUCAUGAUGUGAAUGAUCUCCGGCAGCACCUGGUACUCCCAUGGAUAAAUGUGGUGCAUUAAAAGGACGAUGGCAGGAGAUUCUCGGAAAAAGAUUUACAGCUAUCAAUCACGCCUUAAUGCCCUGAAUCAGAGAUGUGAAGGGCGACCUCAUUAAUGAGGAACCAAUCAAGAUUUGACAGUGAAGCUUAGACACAGAACUCUGAAAGAGAAUGAUGACCCCUGGGAAGAGAAUUUGGCUGCCCUUG
Molecule: long non-coding RNA, 352 nt
Organism: Cyprinus carpio (common carp)
Lineage: Eukaryota; Metazoa; Chordata; Actinopteri; Cypriniformes; Cyprinidae
Source: Ensembl